AACGAACGCUGGCGGCAUGCCUAACACAUGCAAGUCGAACGAGAUCUUCGGGUCUAGUGGCGCACGGGUGCGUAACGCGUGGGAAUCUGCCCUUUGGUUCGGAAUAACAGUUGGAAACGACUGCUAAUACCGGAUGAUGACGAAAGUCCAAAGAUUUCCCGCCAGAGGACGAGCCCGCGUAGGAUUAGCUAGUUGGUGUGGUAAAGGCGCACCAAGGCGACGAUCCUUAGCUGGUCUGAGAGGAUGAUCAGCCACACUGGGACUGAGACACGGCCCAGACUCCUACGGGAGGCAGCAGUGGGGAAUAUUGGGCAAUGGGCGAAAGCCUGAUCCAGCAAUGCCGCGUGAGUGAUGAAGGCCUUAGGGUUGUAAAGCUCUUUUACCCGGGAUGAUAAUGACAGUACCGGGAGAAUAAGCUCCGGCUAACUCCGUGCCAGCCGCCGCCGUAA
RNAcentral lists this ribosomal RNA (449 nucleotides) under uncultured bacterium. RNAcentral's name for it is "partial 16S ribosomal RNA". It matches the Rfam family "Bacterial small subunit ribosomal RNA", at positions 29 to 523 of the family's 1533-position model. The record is from RNAcentral.